RNAcentral lists this ribosomal RNA (87 nucleotides) under Clostridium perfringens. The record is from RNAcentral. Lineage: Bacteria; Bacillati; Bacillota; Clostridia; Eubacteriales; Clostridiaceae.
UCAUCUGGUGAUGAUGCUCUUUAGGGUAACACCCGUUUUCCAUUCCGAACACGAAGGUUAAGCCUAUUGAGGCCGAUGGUACUGCAC